UACGUAGGGUGCGAGCGUUGUCCGGAAUUAUUGGGCGUAAAGGGCUCGUAGGCGGUCUGUCGCGUCGGGAGUGAAAACUCAGGGCUUAACCCUGAGCCUGCUUCCGAUACUGGCAGACUAGAGGUAUGCAGGGGAGAACGGAAUUCCUGGUGCAGCGGUGAAAUGCGCAGAUAUCAGGAGGAACACCGGUGGCGAAGGCGGUUCUCUGGGCAUUACCUGACGCUGAGGAGCGAAAGUGUGGGGAGCGAACAGG
Molecule: ribosomal RNA, 253 nt
Filed under: uncultured bacterium
Lineage: Bacteria
Description: partial 16S ribosomal RNA
Rfam family: Bacterial small subunit ribosomal RNA
Source: RNAcentral